AAAAAAAAAGUGAUUUUUCAGCAUGUUGUAAAAACGUGCCAUAUGAUGAAAUAAUUUAAAGGAGGCCGUGAAAAACACUCCAGAAAGGUUUUCUUUGAAAAAAAAUCAUCAUGAAUUUUGGCGCAAAAAAAACGCCAUAGUAUACUAUGUCGAAAAAAAAUGCGAUUUUUCAACAUGUUGUAAAAACGUGCCAUAUGAUGAAAUAAUGUAAAGGAGGCCGUGAAAAACACUCCAGAAAGGUUUUCUUUGAAAAAAAAAACAUGAUUUUUGGCGCAAAAAAAAGGCCAUAGUAUGCUAUGUCGAAAAAUGUCAUUUUUCAACACUAAAUCUUAUUGAAAAACUCUAAGGUACAUUAAAAAAAAAAGUCCAGUAGAUGUCACUCUGCUUUGAAAUAGCAUGCAGAGCAAGUUAGUCUGCUCACAGGAAGUUAGCAUGAGCAAAAUCACUCUUCACAUGAGGCGUCUGUUUUUUGUGAUUUUCAAAGGUAAAGUAAUACUUUUGACACAUUAUGGUGCCUAAGGAGUUGCUGAACAAAAAUGUGUCAUUUGAAAUGUAAAAAAAAAGAUUUAAAAGGGUAAAAUAAUUUUUCUCAACCGUUUGGUAGAGGUCAGUAUUUUAAAAAUCGCUGGGUCACUUCAUAAUAAAACCAUUGAUUGUUGUUAUUAGUGCCCCAAAGAGAUAAGAAAGAUAAAGAAAUAUUUUUUCAUUGCCUUUUUCUUGGUGAGGAUGUUUAAGGGUUAACUUAACAUCUGUAAACAAAACAAAAACGUAUCAACAAAGUUUUCUGUUAGAGUUUGUGUUCUUGUAAGUUUAACUCCAAGAUUUUAAAUACUUUCAUUUACUGCAAAUGAAUAUCUACUCCAAAUGUCUCACUAAUAAUCAUUAUCAGCCUUAAAAACCCACAAAACACCCCUCUAUACUUGACCACACUUAGUACAGUCUGGUUCCCCCUUCUAUAAAUCUGCUUGGAAUCGUCCACUUCCUGUUUGUCAAAGUGGCCUUCUACCUGGACAGGUUUUGUUGGAGCUCAUGCAACAAACAUUUUGGGUAACUGCACUUUAAUAUGGAUGGAUGACACUGAAUUAGAGUCUGUUUUAAUGAGACUGAGGACUAAGAUGUGUAGCUCUGUCAUUAAGUAUGAAAUUAUUUCUCAGAAUUCACAGAGAAAAGUCUGAAAUGUUUGCUAGGUUAGCAUCCCACAUGUUCUUUGGCUCAGCUAAAGCUAACUCUCUCCAACUUCUGGAUCUCUUGAGUUGCUUGUUGUUAAAAUAUGUUGCUAAAGGUGCUGAAGCUCAGAAAGUCUGAGAUGUUUGUUCAAAAUAAGCUCAUUCUCAAGUCUUAUCUGAACUGUCCUCUUUUGUUUGAACUUUCCCUAAACUUAGGAGUUAAUGACAGAGCAGCACAUCCAGACUCAGUCUCAUUUAUGUAGAGAUUAAACUUCAGUGUCAUUCAUUGAUGUUAAAGUGCAGUUUUUCAAAUGUUUGUUGCACAUGCUCCCGACCAAACCAGUUCAGGUGGAAGACGAUGUGAAGAGAAAGCUCCAGAGGAUGAAUAUCACACAUUUACGUUGGAAAUAAAUGUCCUUUAAUUAGACAUUGUCAUGCAAAAGUUGGAUUUCCCUUUAAUGAUGUUCAAAUCUUUGUUGAGUGUUUUGAUGAUGUUGGUUUCUAAAUGUUUUCUGACACUCGGCCCCAAAGAUUAAAACCUUCUAUGGCUCACAAGCUGCAACAAUUCACACAUUCUCAACUAUCUUUCUGACUAAACUAAGAUAAAAAAGUGAAAAACUGCCUGAUUCCUGCAUCAUGAAUGUAAAUCUUUUUGGGUUUUUAUGACAGUAAACUGAAUAUAUUUGGGUUGUGGACAAAACAAAACGUUUGUCAUCUUUGGGAAACACUGAUCAAUGUUUUCCACCAUUUUUUGACAUUUUAUAAACCAAAACAAGAAAUGAAUUACUGGAGAAAACAACAGAUUAAUCGACAAAGAAAAUGUAUUUUCCAACAUAUAAGGCUGAAUUACUCCAACAUUACAAGAUACAUACAGUUUUAAAACAUGACAAAGUAAAAGAGUUUUAUUUUCUGUCUGUCCUUUAUUUUCUUGACUAAUCCAAUUUAUUAUUUGGUUUUUAAGAGACUAAUGGACAAUUAAAAUAACCUUCUCCACUAAAACUAAUAAACAUGAGGUCAAAUAGAAGGAACAGUUUUAAAUACUGCAGUCCCACGACAACAAGAAUAAAGCUUCUCAACAAAAACUAAAUCUGCUGGUGGAUUCCAUUAAAGUCCUAAUAAAUGAUUAUAAAGUGUGAUACUAAAGGUUUGUGGUGCUAAAAAUCUCCAAGUAAAGAUAUCAAGUUGAACAUCUGGAUGGAGGCUGAUAAAAGUUGACCUCCCUUCAUUUCUCUGGAGCCGACUCCAUGGAUUUUAUGGAUGGUGGUUAAAGACCUGCUCUUCUAGUGGUCUUCCUUCUAGUCGCUGUAAAAAGUCAGUCCAUCCUGGCCGACUUCAACACCUCUUCAUGACAACUUGUUCUGCCUCAGACCUGGUGGAAACUCCAGAAACUGGGGAAAACCCGUGGAGACUCGAAGAACUCGUGGAGACUCGAAGAACUCGUGGGGCGGGGGAAGGUGUGGUGGGUGGUGGGGGGAGGUGGGGGAGUAGAGGGGAGAGGCCGCCACCCACCUCCCCGCCUACUCUCCGCCCUGACUCCACCCAGACUCCGCCUUGGCUCCACCCAUGUGGUGACUUCAGAAACUACGAUGCCAAAGGGACGACGAAUUUAUUUCUUUUUAUCUGAUCUGUAGCUCAGUGAGUUAAGGAUUUGCCUAUGGAGCUGCAGGUCGCUGGUUCAAGACCAGACACUUCUUAAAUUUUCUCAAAAUCCUGACAAAGACAAAGAAAGAAAAUUGCCCGUGGCGGGUCUCGAACCUGCGACCUACCACUUGGUAGUCCUCUUCUUAUCCCCCUGAGCUAUCCGCUCAGAUACUAAUUCUUCUUUUUUUUGCGCAUUUAUCAUCUAUUUUUCAGCGUUUUCGAAUCUUUUUUUAACUCGAGUCUCGUCUCGACCGUUUUUCUCAGGAGGUUGGACUUCAGCCUUUGUGCUGGAGGGUGGAACCCUCAGUUCCAAGACUUUCCAAAGCCUCCAGACCUCCCGAGUCCUCAGGACCUGAGCUUUCACACAGUCUGAGGGCUGAAAUUUUCUAAGUCCCACAGUAGUUCUCUGUUAGAUUUAACUUUCAGACAGUCCAAGGACUGAUAUCUUCUCAGUUCCUGAGUAGUUCUCUGUUAGUUUGAACCUUCAGACAGUCUGAAGGCUGAAGUUUUAAAAGUUUCUCAGUACUUCUCUGUUAGUUUGAACCUUUCCACAGUCCGAGGACUGAAAACCUUAAAGUUCUUGAGCAGUUCUCUGUUAGUUUGAACCUUUAGACAGUCUGAGGGCUGAAAUUUUAAAAGUUUCUCAGUACUUCUCUGUUAGUUUGAACUUUCUAGUUAACAGAAGCCUUAAAACUUGUGACCAUGAGUCUUGAUUUCACAUUUAGACCAUCGAUCUGAGUUCUUCUCAGACCUUCACCUGUGGGUUUUUUAGAAAUCCUGAAAAAACUUUGAUUCUCUUCACUGAACAGUAAAGUUUGUGGAGAUCAGAAGGUAACAUUAGUUUGAUCCAUGCCUUCAACUAAUAGUAGACUUCUGGAAAGCAGUUUUCUGAAAUGAGUUCUUAGUAAAUCUGUCCACAAUCAAACCAAGAACACAGAAAGAGGAAAUGUUUGAAGAAACAACUUGUUUUCAUUUCAGACUAGAAAACGCUUUAAGACGGUUAUCUGUUUUUGAUUUUUUUGAUCAUUUUAUUGACUCCUGUGUAAUUUGAUCUUCUAAAGUCUAACUGGUGUCUUUUCAAAUGUUUUGUCUUUAGUUUGAUUCUUCUUAAAUGUUUAGUUUUGCUCUUUUCUCACCUUUUAUUCUUUUCUAAUGUCUGAUUUGAUUUCCAAAUGUUUUGUCUUUUUAAUGUUUAAUUGUUUUUUCAAAUGUUUUAUCGGCUUGUUCAAAAAUUUUCCUUUUCUUUCCCAAUGUUUAAUUUUUCGAUUAAACCUUUAAGGUUUUUCUUUUUAAAUGUUUACCACCUUUUAAUUUUUAAUUUUCUUUUUAAAUGCUUCAUUGUAUUUUCUGUUUAAUUCCUAUUUAAAGUUUUAUUGUCUGUAAGAUUUAAUUUUGUAAUUAAACAUUUAAUUUUUUAAUUAGAUGUUUUGUCUUUUUAAAGGUUUAAUAAUCUAAUUAAAUGUUUAUUUUUUUAAAUGUUUAAUAUUCUUGUUUAAUUGUAUUUUUUAAAUAUUUGUCUAAAAUAUUUCCUCUUUAAUGUUUAAUAUUUUUGUUUAUAAAAUUUUGUUUCAUUUCAUAAUUACGUUUUGUAUCUUCUAUUUAAUUAUCUAAAUAUUUUGUC
Molecule: long non-coding RNA, 4428 nt
Organism: Amphiprion ocellaris (clown anemonefish)
Lineage: Eukaryota; Metazoa; Chordata; Actinopteri; Pomacentridae
Source: Ensembl